GAGGUUUGGGAGCUUUCUGCGGAACAAGAAUAAUGGAGAUUGUGAAAAAACACGACUCUGGUGGUCUUCUAUGGAAGAGAAUCAAGCUCACUUCUACUCGCAAAGCUAAUGCCAAGAAGCGCCUUCGUCGUGUUUGGCAGGUUGGCUAGUGGCUACAUGUUCAAUGUUACAAUUUCAUCUGUAACUACCCAUUUGUAUGGUUGCACGUGAUUGUUGCUGAGUGCUGACUACCUACUGCUGUUGUUAAUCUGGAAUUGGCCCUCUUAUCUGUAAUUGGCAGUCUUUUUGUUGGUAUGGUAGUACGUAAAACAACCAUUGCUUAAAAUUUUGAUGCUUGUCUGCAUGUAUUGGUUUGUUUGCUAAGAAUGUAAGUGACAUGCAUCUAUGGUGCAUGAAGCUAUAAAGGUUGGAUAUCUGGUGUUGUUUUGUACAGUGAAUUGAGUAGCCUGAUACAAUUGUAACCUGUACUUCUGUAAUUGAUUUGUUAACACC
This is an RNA transcript of Beta vulgaris subsp. vulgaris (sugar beet), 492 nucleotides long. RefSeq lists it as uncharacterized. The transcript has 2 exons. The record is from RefSeq and is a predicted model, not a curated record. Lineage: Eukaryota; Viridiplantae; Streptophyta; Magnoliopsida; Caryophyllales; Amaranthaceae.